RNAcentral lists this unclassified non-coding RNA (183 nucleotides) under soil metagenome. Its description in RNAcentral is "partial internal transcribed spacer 1". The record is from RNAcentral.
CAGAGUUGCAAAACUCCCAACCAUUGUGAACCUACCUCACCGUUGCUUCGGCGGGUGGCCCGGGGCAACCCAGGCCGCGCCGGCACCCUUCUACGGGGGACCGGCAAGCCCCGCCUCUCAGAGUAGGGCAGCCCGAGUACAACCUGUAAUUACUGGUAUCUCUGAGUAAUAUACAAUAAGUUA